UGCCAACGGAAGGAGCCGGCUCGGAGCGAGGACCGGAGGCUGUCUCCUUUCAAGAACGGGGACCUGCCCGGCGAGCGGCUCCCUGCGCGCGGGAUCCCCGCCCGCUGCGGGCGCCGAUCCAUUCCCGUUCCCGGCUCGCCGGGGCACCGCCGCGGGCACUGACAAGUGGAUGUAUUUGGUGAUUAUAAAGCAGUUCAGCUAGAACAGCAUUCUUCGGCUCUGCAUUUUGAUUAUCAAAAGCAGAAUGAACGUAAUAGUGGCUUUUCAAGGACAGUAAUUAGUUUCUUUUAAAGUAACUGACAACAUUAACCUACUUCAACCAUCCAAGUGUAAGCUAUAAUGCUUUUAAACAUGGAUUUUAUAUAGAAACUGUGUUGGAAUUAUAAAGUGAAGAUUUAGAGUAUAUGUUCCUUUUUGUCUGUGAAUUUCUACUUUUUCUCUCAUCUUUGAGAGAAGAUUUUAUGAAACAUAAUAUUGAGGGUAGUAAGAUGAUGGUGUAGAGCAGAAUACUUGAGACUAUCAUUGUCAGUAGGAAGAGACCUGUUUUCAAGUAAAGUGAAAAUAAUUUCUAGUUUAUUGUACUAAUAACAAAUUUAGAAAAAUGACAGGUAUUUCUCUAUAAUAUGUCAACUUUAGUCUGAAAUACAGUGAAACAGUAUUGUUACAUACUUUGAGAAGAAAUCUUAAUAGAUAUUUUGAGUGCUGUGUCUUAUUACGGUUAUUCUGUGUCAUUUUACAGACACUUAGAAAAGGUGCUUCUUACCUGCUUGAUAAAUAGUUCAUAAAAUAUUAAUAAAAUCAAUUAGUAUCUGUUAGGAAUUCCUGCUGUCAAGAAAGUGAAGGAGGGUGUAUUGCAACUGGGCUAUAAUGUUCUCUUUUGAUUAGUCUGAAAAUUACCCACUCUAUAAGCAAUGACUCUAUUGAUUUGGCAUAUCUUACAAAGAUAUUUUACUUACAAAUUGAAUCUUGGAAGGCUGUGGUUCCAGAGUCGGGGUUUUGGGGGCGAGAUGAGCUUAUGUUUUAUCCAACUGGCCCACAAAGUCCCGCUUUUGGUGGUCACUUUGUUCUGCAAAAGAAAACAGCACAUUAUGGCUCUUACAAUGGACAGUAAAGUUAGUAGUAAACUACUGCUGCACUUAGUAAAGGGCUAUUAUACACUUUAAAUAAAUAAUAAUGUUCUAUCUUUAAUGUUCUCUUCAGCAAUAAAAAAGUGGAUAGAAAAUAAAAUAAAUCUGAAACUUAAACAUAAAA
Non-coding RNA from Lonchura striata (white-rumped munia), 1251 nucleotides. The record is from RefSeq and is a predicted model, not a curated record. Lineage: Eukaryota; Metazoa; Chordata; Aves; Passeriformes; Estrildidae.